Molecule: ribosomal RNA, 830 nt
Filed under: uncultured bacterium
Lineage: Bacteria
Description: bacterial SSU rRNA
Rfam family: Bacterial small subunit ribosomal RNA
Source: RNAcentral
AGUGUUUGAUCCUGGCUCAGGAUAAACGCUGGCGGCGUGCCUAACACAUGCAAGUCGAACGCCCUUUUGCCGCAAGGGAAGAGGGAGUGGCGGACGGGUGAGUAAGACAUGGGAACCUACCCCAUCAGUGAGGGAUACCGGCGCGAAAGCGCCGACAAGCCCACAUACGCUCUUCUCGCAAGGGAAGAGGAAAGCUGGAAACGGCGCUGGGGGAUGGGCCUGUGGCCGAUUAGCUAGCUGGUGGGGUAAGGGCUCACCAGGGCGACGAUCGGUAGCUGGUCUGAGAGGAUGAUCAGCCACACUGGGAUUGAGAACGGCCCAGACUCCUACGGGGGGCAGCAGUGAGGAAUUUUCCGCAAUGGAGGAAACUCUGACGGAGCAACGCCGCGUGCAGGAAGACGCUUUUCGGAGUGUAAACUGCUUUUCUUCGGGACGAGGAUGGACGGUACCGGAGGAAGAAGCCCCGGCUAACUACGUGCCAGCAGCCGCGGUAAUACGUAGGGGGCGAGCGUUGUCCGGAGUUACUGGGCGUAAAGCGCCCGCAGGCGGUCGUGCGCGUUGCUGGUGACAGUCGGCGGCUUAACUGCCGGAGUGCUAGCAAGACGGCAUGACUGGAGGGCCUCAGAGGGACAUGGAAUUCCGGGUGGAGCGGUGAAAUGCGUAGAGAUCCGGAGGAACACCAAAGGCGAAGGCAGUGUCCUGGGAGGCACCUGACGCUCGGGGGCGAAGGCCAGGGGAGCGAACGGGAUUAGAUACCCCGGUAGUCCUGGCGGUAAACGAUGACCACUAGGUGUGCGGCGUAUCGACCCGCUGCGUGCCGACGCAAACGC